RNAcentral lists this transfer RNA (87 nucleotides) under Alphaproteobacteria bacterium TMED62. RNAcentral's name for it is "tRNA-Leu". It matches the Rfam family "tRNA". From Rfam's summary of the family: Transfer RNA (tRNA) molecules are approximately 80 nucleotides in length. Their secondary structure includes four short double-helical elements and three loops (D, anti-codon, and T loops). The record is from RNAcentral. Lineage: Bacteria; Pseudomonadati; Pseudomonadota; Alphaproteobacteria. RNAcentral also lists the same sequence under 1 other name.
GCGGUCGUGGCGGAAUUGGUAUACGCGCAACGUUGAGGUCGUUGUGGAGGAAACUCCAUGGAGGUUCAAGUCCUCUCGGCCGCACCA